CAGUCGCCGCGGGAAUACGAAGGGGGCUAGCGUUGCUCGGAAUCACUGGGCGUAAAGGGUGCGUAGGCGGGUCUUUAAGUCAGGGGUGAAAUCCUGGAGCUCAACUCCAGAACUGCCUUUGAUACUGAAGAUCUUGAGUUCGGGAGAGGUGAGUGGAACUGCGAGUGUAGAGGUGAAAUUCGUAGAUAUUCGCAAGAACACCAGUGGCGAAGGCGGCUCACUGGCCCGAUACUGACGCUGAGGCACGAAAGCGUGGGGAGCAAACAGGAUUAGAUACCCGCGUAGUCCCUGUCUCUUAUCC
This 301-nucleotide ribosomal RNA is filed under the name uncultured bacterium. Its description in RNAcentral is "partial 16S ribosomal RNA". It matches the Rfam family "Bacterial small subunit ribosomal RNA", at positions 509 to 809 of the family's 1533-position model. The record is from RNAcentral.